AUUUAUAUAGUUUAAAAAAAAACAUUAUAUUUUCAAUAUAAAAUUAAUUAAUAUAAUUUAU
Molecule: transfer RNA, 61 nt
Filed under: Apis dorsata (giant honeybee)
Lineage: Eukaryota; Metazoa; Arthropoda; Insecta; Hymenoptera; Apidae
Description: tRNA-Glu
Source: RNAcentral